AGAGUUUGAUCAUGGCUCAGGACGAACGCUGGCGGCGUGGAUUAGGCAUGCAAGUCGCGCGACGGUAUUCCUUCGGGGAUAUACGGAGCGGCGAACGGGUGAGUAACACGUGAGGAACCUGUCCCUACUUUCCGGAUAAUUGGCCGAAAGGUCUUGUAAUACGGGGGAGGGUCUCUGGUGGGCAUCCAUUGGAGAAGGAAGGCGCAAGCACUUGUGUUUGUGCCGAGCAGGGAGGGCCUCGCGGCCUAUCAGCUUGUUGGUGGGGUAAAGGCCUACCAAGGCGACGACGGGUAGCUGGUCUGAGAGGAUGGUCAGCCACAUUGGAACUGAGACACUGUCCAGACUCCUACGGGAGGCUGCAGUCGAGAAUCUUGGUCAAUGCACGAAAGUGUGAACCAGCGACGCCGCGUGAAGGAUGAAGGACCUCUGGUUCGUAAACUUCUUUUAGGGGGGAAGAAUGGGCUUUAUGCCUUUGACGGUACCCCCUGAAUAAGCCACGGCUAACUACGUGCCAGCAGCCGCGGUAAUACGUAGGUGGCAAGCGUUGUCCGGAUUUACUGGGCGUAAAGCGUAUGCAGGCGGAUACUUAAGUAGGAAGUGAAAGGUGGGAGCUCAACUCCCACAUUGCUCCCUAUACUGGGUGUCUUGAGUGGCGGAGAGGGAGAUGGAACGACACGUGUAGCGGUGAAAUGCGUUGAUAUGUGUCGGAACACCAAUGGCGAAAGCAAUCUCCUGGACGCAAACUGACGCUGAGAUACGAAAGCCAAGGUAGCAAACAGGAUUAGAUACCCUAGUAGUCC
This 800-nucleotide ribosomal RNA is filed under the name uncultured bacterium. RNAcentral's name for it is "bacterial SSU rRNA". It matches the Rfam family "Bacterial small subunit ribosomal RNA", at positions 8 to 796 of the family's 1533-position model. The record is from RNAcentral.